CAUACCUGUGAAACCACAUGCCUCUGCAAGAAGAAAUGUGCUCCAGGACAUCAGGAAGAAUAAUGCAGUCUCCAGAAGCUGGAAAUCUCGCAGUUUUGUGAAUUUGGAUAUCAGGGCUGUCACAACUCCAGUGGCAGCUCCAAGAGCAAAAGAUCCACUAAAUAUUCCUAAAAAAAUUCCAAAUGACUUAAACAUUGCUGUGACGUCAAAAGUAUGGCUGUUAUCUCCAGCUGGCUGAUACGCAACAAUUGACCUGUAAACCAGAAGACUUGUCAGAAUAUCAAAAAUCCACCAUUCAGUACUGACAGAAACCAUUCACUAAUUUCUCAAAAUCUUUAAAACACAUAUUGGUCACACUGGUGAGAAAUAUAAAAUAUUACAUUCUUAGCAUUCACUCUUCACUUCAUUCCCUUACAUAUUGGAUUGCCUGUAAUUUUUCCACAAAACUGUGUAAAACAUACACUGGGUAUGAUCUGUCCUGUUUAAAAAAAAAAAAAAUUGGACUUGACAUACCUGAAGCAACAUUUUUCUACUUCUUUAAUAUACCUGCAUGUCUGUAUACAUUUUGCAUAGGCUCAAACAA
Erpetoichthys calabaricus (reedfish) is the source of this 583-nucleotide long non-coding RNA. RefSeq lists it as uncharacterized. The transcript has 2 exons. The record is from RefSeq and is a predicted model, not a curated record. Lineage: Eukaryota; Metazoa; Chordata; Cladistia; Polypteriformes; Polypteridae.